GACGAACGCUGGCGGCGUGCUUAACACAUGCAAGUCGAACGGAAAGGCCCUGCUUUUGUGGGGUGCUCGAGUGGCGAACGGGUGAGUAACACGUGAGUAACCUGCCCUUGACUUUGGGAUAACUUCAGGAAACUGGGGCUAAUACCGGAUAGGAGCUCCUGCUGCAUGGUGGGGGUUGGAAAGUUUCGGCGGUUGGGGAUGGACUCGCGGCUUAUCAGCUUGUUGGUGGGGUAGUGGCUUACCAAGGCUUUGACGGGUAGCCGGCCUGAGAGGGUGACCGGCCACAUUGGGACUGAGAUACGGCCCAGACUCCUACGGGAGGCAGCAGUGGGGAAGAUUGCACAAUGGGCGGAAGCCUGAUGCAGCAACGCCGCGUGCGGGAUGACGGCCUUCGGGUUGUAAACCGCUUUCGCUCAUGACGAAGCUUUGUGUGACGGUAGUGGGUAAAGAAGCACCGGCUAACUACGUG
Molecule: ribosomal RNA, 469 nt
Filed under: uncultured bacterium
Lineage: Bacteria
Description: partial 16S ribosomal RNA
Rfam family: Bacterial small subunit ribosomal RNA
Source: RNAcentral